AUUGAACGCUGGCGGAAUGCUUUACACAUGCAAGUCGAACGAUGAACCUUAGCUUGCUAAGGGGAUUAGUGGCGAACGGGUGAGUAAUAUAUCGGAACGCGCCUUGUAAUGGGGGAUAACUAGUCGAAAGAUUAGCUAAUACCGCAUACGCCCUGAGGGGGAAAGUAGGGGAUCUUCGGACCUUACGUUAUAAGAGCGGCCGAUAUCUGAUUAGCUAGUUGGUGGGGUAAUGGCCUACCAAGGCGACGAUCAGUAGCUGGUCUGGGAGGACGACCAGCCACACUGGAACUGAGACACGGUCCAGACUCCUACGGGAGGCAGCAGUGGGGAAUUUUGGACAAUGGGCGCAAGCCUGAUCCAGCCAUUCCGCGUGAGUGAAGAAGGCCUUCGGGUUGUAAAGCUCUUUCGCAAGGGAAGAAAACUUACCAUCGAAUAAAUGGUGAGGCUGACGGUACCUUGAUAAGAAGCACCGGCUAACUACGUG
RNAcentral lists this ribosomal RNA (484 nucleotides) under uncultured bacterium. RNAcentral describes it as "partial 16S ribosomal RNA". It matches the Rfam family "Bacterial small subunit ribosomal RNA", at positions 30 to 507 of the family's 1533-position model. The record is from RNAcentral.